This 208-nucleotide long non-coding RNA is filed under the name Carica papaya (papaya). RNAcentral describes it as "long non-coding RNA (CPAP_LNC009803)". The record is from RNAcentral. Lineage: Eukaryota; Viridiplantae; Streptophyta; Magnoliopsida; Brassicales; Caricaceae.
ACGGAUCCAAACCAUCCAUGCGUGCGGGAACUCAUCCGGACCGUACGAUCACGGGCACAUGAAUUGCCAGCGUGGCCUCCCGCGUGGCACUGAGUCAAUGUGCCUUGCCACGCAACGAGCUCCAGUUCGUCGGGGCUGCUGACUAGGCGAUCCUACAUGGUAUAUUUUUUCUUAAUUAUGUUUUGACCCCCAGUUUUCGAUUUCUUUU